RNAcentral lists this ribosomal RNA (253 nucleotides) under uncultured bacterium. Its description in RNAcentral is "partial 16S ribosomal RNA". It matches the Rfam family "Bacterial small subunit ribosomal RNA", at positions 524 to 776 of the family's 1533-position model. The record is from RNAcentral.
GACGAGGGAUCCUAGCGUUGUUCGGAAUUAUUGGGCGUAAAGCGGGUGUAGGCGGCUCUAUAAGUCAGGUGUGAAAGCCCGAGGCUCAACCUCGGAAGUGCACUUGAUACUGUAGAGCUUGAAUGUGGUAGAGGUUACUGGAAUUGCUGGUGUAGUGGUGAAAUACGUAGAUAUCAGCAGGAAUACCGGAGGCGAAGGCGGGUAACUGGGCCAACAUUGACGCUGAGACCCGAAAGCGUGGGGAUCAAACAGG